UACGGAGGAUUCAAGCGUUAUCCGGAUUUAUUGGGUUUAAGGGGUGCGUAGGCGGUCGGAUAAGUUAGAGGUGAAAUCCCGAGGCUCAACUUCGGAAUUGCCUCUGAUACUGUUCGGCUAGAGAGUAGUUGCGGUAGGCGGAAUGUAUGGUGUAGCGGUGAAAUGCUUAGAGAUCAUACAGAACACCGAUUGCGAAGGCAGCUUACCAAGCUACUUCUGACGUUGAGGCACGAAAGCGUGGGGAGCAAACAGG
RNAcentral lists this ribosomal RNA (253 nucleotides) under uncultured bacterium. RNAcentral's name for it is "partial 16S ribosomal RNA". It matches the Rfam family "Bacterial small subunit ribosomal RNA", at positions 524 to 776 of the family's 1533-position model. The record is from RNAcentral.